This 612-nucleotide ribosomal RNA is filed under the name Triticum aestivum (bread wheat). RNAcentral describes it as "partial small subunit ribosomal RNA". Lineage: Eukaryota; Viridiplantae; Streptophyta; Magnoliopsida; Poales; Poaceae. The record is from RNAcentral.
AUGUCGGUGAAGAGGACAAGGCCGGCGGCUGCGCACGAAGAAGCUAGGGGAAUGAUCCAGUGCCAUGACGGGAGGAGAGGAGUUCCUCCUCCAGCGGAGCAACGCGACGACAUCCCCUGGAGCUGCCCGGGCGCGGAGAUCUCUUCCAAGCGCCACGACGAGCUCCUCCGAGACAGCAGGCCGACGUCCUCCUCGUCGGCACUGGCACCGCUGGUUAGCCCGAUGCAGCGAGUCAACCUCUUCGUCCUGACUAGUUUAUGCCGUCUCAGUCGUCAACGCCAUCCUCGAGGCCCACGCCAUCUAUCGGACCAGACCGUGCUUCUGACUGACACAUAUGGCCAGUUCGUCUGUCAAGAAGCAGGAAAGCAGAGAAAGUUGUUGAACGCGAAAAAGAACGAGAUAUCUGCCAAUGCCUACUUCACUGAGAUGAGAGGCCUCAACGAUGAACCUGCUGCAGCAGGAGAGAAUAUCGAUGAUGACGGCCUAAUCUCGGUGCUCCUUGCUGGACUAGAGACACACUACAAUCUGUUGGUCGCAUCCAUGUCCGCCAAAAUGGAGCCAAUCAACCUCAUGACUUGUACUCGCAGCUUCUCGCCUUCGUGGCGCGGCUAG